CGAGCUUCCAAAAUGGCAAAAACAAACAACAACAAAAAAACACCUCCAUUCUUUAGCAUGUUGCUCUAAAUUGUUUAGCUACCACUUUUCAAAGUGUUUAUGAAGGAAAUCAAGUCUAAUACACAGACAUUUCACUCAUUAGAAAAAUCACACAUUUUCAAGUGUCAAUUUAUUGCUCUCUGCAUUAGAAUUCAAACAUAGAGAAGCAAUAAUUGCUAUGGGAUGCAAUUUCUCGCUCUCUGUCCCAUGUGCCAGUGGCCAGCCCUCACUGAUACCUCUUCGGAACAAGCGAGGGGAUGGCAUGCCAGCAGCUGGAGCCUGAUCAGAGUGGGCCACAGGCCUGCGGUGCCAGCAACUGCAGCCCAUGGGGCCUCAGUGCCAGUCCCUGGGGCAGGGGGAUCUGUAACCUCCAUCCCCAGGGCAGGAGCUGUGCAUGUCCACACCCCACUGCAGGCCUGCACAAGUCCACAGCCCUGUGCCUGUGGCUGGGGCAGGAUCAGGGAGCUCAGAGGCCAGGCAGGCUGAGGAUGAGACAACUCACUGCUUUGAGGAACUUAGCCAACCACAGAAUCACAGAGUAAUGGAAUUGUAGGGGUUGGAAAGGACCACUGGAGAUCAUAGAGUCCACCUCCCUGUUAAAGCAGGUUCCCCACAAUAGGUUGCACAGGAAAGCAUCCAUGCAAGUCUUGAAUAACUCCAUAUAAGGAUACUCCACAACCCCUCUGGCACCUCCCUCGACCUGCUGGCCACGAUCUCUGUAACUCACCCCAGCAUACCAUUGGCCUUCUUGGCCACAAGAGCACACUGCUGGCUUAUGGCCAACCUGUUGUCCAUGAGGACCACUAAGUCCUUCUCUGCAGAAGGAGAAGUACCUAGAUCUGCUUGCUUUUAAUGAGUCUUCAAUAGCAGGAGGAUAUUUAUUUCUCUGACAAGUUUGACUUCAAAUUUGCAAGUUAAUCUAGUAUGUCCUUUUGUGUUGUGCUGCAUCAUACUGAAGAGCACUUCAGGACCUACGGAAAACAGAAUUUCACAAGGAGUGACAAGCUCAUCAAAAC
RNAcentral lists this long non-coding RNA (1055 nucleotides) under Numida meleagris (helmeted guineafowl). RNAcentral describes it as "lncRNA (ENSNMEG00000002563.1)". Lineage: Eukaryota; Metazoa; Chordata; Aves; Galliformes; Numididae. The record is from RNAcentral.